GAAGUUGUUAGCUCAGUGGUGACGUGCAUGCUUAGUGUGUAUGAUGUCCUGGGUUCAAUCCCCAGCUUCUCCC
Dallia pectoralis (Alaska blackfish) is the source of this 73-nucleotide non-coding RNA. The record is from the annotation of a GenBank genome assembly. Lineage: Eukaryota; Metazoa; Chordata; Actinopteri; Esociformes; Umbridae.